This 29-nucleotide non-coding RNA is filed under the name Mus musculus (house mouse). The record is from RNAcentral. Lineage: Eukaryota; Metazoa; Chordata; Mammalia; Rodentia; Muridae.
UGGCCACUCCUUAAACCUGUGUGUCUGCC